RNAcentral lists this ribosomal RNA (109 nucleotides) under Podiceps cristatus (great crested grebe). The record is from RNAcentral. Lineage: Eukaryota; Metazoa; Chordata; Aves; Podicipediformes; Podicipedidae.
UGCAGUGAGGAUACCAUAGUGGAAAUACAUAUACCCAUUCCGAACAUAAUAGUCAAGCACUAUGGGCUUUUACAGACCUCCAAAGAGAGUCUAUAAAAGUUUACUGCAC